AAGUGGAGCAAUCCAUGAGUAAAGUGGCGCACGGGUGAGUAACACGUGACUAACCUACCUUCGAGUGGGGGAUAACCUAGGGAAACCUGGGCUAAUACCGCAUAACAUCUUUGGAGUGGAAACUCUGGAGAUCAAAGGGGCAAUUCGCUUGAAGAGGGGGUCGCGGCUGAUUAGCUAGUUGGCGGGGUAAUGGCCCACCAAGGCUUUGAUCGGUAGCCGGCCUGAGAGGGCGCACGGCCACACUGGAACUGAAACACGGUCCAGACUCCUACGGGAGGCAGCAGUGGGGAAUUUUGCGCAAUGGGGGAAACCCUGACGCAGCAACGCCGCGUGGAGGAUGAAGUCCCUUGGG
RNAcentral lists this ribosomal RNA (352 nucleotides) under uncultured bacterium. Its description in RNAcentral is "bacterial SSU rRNA". It matches the Rfam family "Bacterial small subunit ribosomal RNA", at positions 72 to 422 of the family's 1533-position model. The record is from RNAcentral.